Molecule: long non-coding RNA, 202 nt
Organism: Zophobas morio
Lineage: Eukaryota; Metazoa; Arthropoda; Insecta; Coleoptera; Tenebrionidae
Exons: 3
Source: RefSeq, a predicted model, not a curated record
GUUUACUCUUGUUUUAAAAUCAUAUCAAGAACUUCUUUUGCCUCAUUUAAUGGAAGUUAAUCGAAUUAUUGGAGAAUUUAUUUCUUCUUCCGUUUCCUUAAGAGAACGCGCUACUCUUUGCAAUAACUUGCUAACUAUUAAUGCGUACGUACAGAAUACGGACGAAUGCCUCGUGUUUAUGCUGGACCUUUUAGAGCCGGUU